This 127-nucleotide small RNA is filed under the name Marmota monax (woodchuck). Lineage: Eukaryota; Metazoa; Chordata; Mammalia; Rodentia; Sciuridae. The record is from RNAcentral.
GCUGGGUGUGGGGGCACAUGCCUGGAAUCCCAGCCCCUCAGGAGGCGGAGGCAGGAGGAUUGCAAGUUCAAAGCCAGCCUCUGCAACUGAGCAAGGCCCUAAGCGACUUAGCGAGACCCUGUCUCUA